RNAcentral lists this ribosomal RNA (118 nucleotides) under Hydropus marginellus. RNAcentral describes it as "partial small subunit ribosomal RNA". It matches the Rfam family "Eukaryotic small subunit ribosomal RNA", at positions 1334 to 1473 of the family's 1831-position model. Lineage: Eukaryota; Fungi; Basidiomycota; Agaricomycetes; Agaricales; Mycenaceae. The record is from RNAcentral.
AACGAGACCUUAACCUGCUAAAUAGUCAGGCUGGCUUUUGCUGGUCGCAGACUUCUUAGAGGGACUGUCAGUGUCUAACUGACGGAAGUUUGAGGCAAUAACAGGUCUGUGAUGCCCU